UAGGGAAUCUUCGGCAAUGGACGGAAGUCUGACCGAGCAACGCCGCGUGAGUGAAGAAGGUUUUCGGAUCGUAAAGCUCUGUUGUAAGAGAAGAACGAGUGUGAGAGUGGAAAGUUCACACUGUGACGGUAUCUUACCAGAAAGGGACGGCUAACUACGUGCCAGCAGCCGCGGUAAUACGUAGGUCCCGAGCGUUGUCCGGAUUUAUUGGGCGUAAAGCGAGCGCAGGCGGUUAGAUAAGUCUGAAGUUGAAGGCUGUGGCUUAACCAUAGUACGCUUUGGAAACUGUUUAACUUGAGUGCAAGAGGGGAGAGUGGAAUUCCAUGUGUAGCGGUGAAAUGCGUAGAUAUAUGGAGGAACACCGGUGGCGAAAGCGGCUCUCUGGCUUGUAACUGACGCUGAGGCUCGAAAGCGUGGGGAGCAAACAGGAUUAGAUACCCUGGUAGUCCACGCCGUAAACGAUGAGUGCUAGGUGUUAGACCCUUUCCGGGGUUUAGUGCCGCAGCUAACGCAUUAAGCACUCCGCCUGGGGAGUACGACCGCAAGGUUG
This 550-nucleotide ribosomal RNA is filed under the name uncultured bacterium. RNAcentral's name for it is "bacterial SSU rRNA". It matches the Rfam family "Bacterial small subunit ribosomal RNA", at positions 355 to 896 of the family's 1533-position model. The record is from RNAcentral.